AAGGUAUCUUCUUUACGUUAACAAAUAGUAUACGAUGCAGAUCAGAUUGUGCCAAAUCUAAAAAUUACUUAAGAACACACAUAUGUCAAUUCAUAAUCAGCCAUGGUAUUAACAUAUGUGUGUGCUUAAGUAAUUUUUAGAUUUGGCACAAUCUGAUCUGCAUCGUAUACUAUUUGUUAGGAUUAUAUCUUAGGAAAAUUAGGAA
Molecule: non-coding RNA, 205 nt
Organism: Brassica rapa (field mustard)
Lineage: Eukaryota; Viridiplantae; Streptophyta; Magnoliopsida; Brassicales; Brassicaceae
Source: RefSeq, marked provisional